AUUGAGCGCUGGCGGCAGGCCUAACACAUGCAAGUCGAACGGUAACAGGAAGCAGCUUGCUGCUUCGCUGACGAGUGGCGGACGGGUGAGUAAUGUCUGGGAAGCUGCCUGAUGGAGGGGGAUAACUACUGGAAACGGUAGCUAAUACCGCAUAAUGUCGCAAGACCAAAGAGGGGGACCUUCGGGCCUCUUGCCAUCGGAUGUGCCCAGAUGGGAUUAGCUUGUUGGUGGGGUAACGGCUCACCAAGGCGACGAUCCCUAGCUGGUCUGAGAGGAUGACCAGCCACACUGGAACUGAGACACGGUCCAGACUCCUACGGGAGGCAGCAGUGGGGAAUAUUGCACAAUGGGCGCAAGCCUGAUGCAGCCAUGCCGCGUGUAUGAAGAAGGCCUUCGGGUUGUAAAGUACUUUCAGCGGGGAGGAAGGGAGUAAAGUUAAUACCUUUGCUCAUUGACGUUACCCGCAGAAGAAGCACCGGCUAACUCCGUG
This 490-nucleotide ribosomal RNA is filed under the name uncultured bacterium. Its description in RNAcentral is "partial 16S ribosomal RNA". It matches the Rfam family "Bacterial small subunit ribosomal RNA", at positions 30 to 507 of the family's 1533-position model. The record is from RNAcentral.